GGCGAACGCUGGCGGCGUGCUUAGCACAUGCAAGUCGAACGGUAAGGCCCUUCGGGGUACACGAGUGGCGAACGGGUGAGUAACACGUGGGUGAUCUGCCCUGCACUUCGGGAUAAGCCUGGGAAACUGGGUCUAAUACCGGAUAGGACCACUGCCUGCAUGGGUGGUGGUGGAAAGCUUUUGCGGUGUGGGAUGGGCCCGCGGCCUAUCAGCUUGUUGGUGGGGUGAUGGCCUACCAAGGCGACGACGGGUAGCCGGCCAGAGAGGGUGACCGGCCACACUGGGACUGAGAUACGGCCCAGACUCCUACGGGAGGCAGCAGUGGGGAAUAUUGCACAAUGGGCGCAAGCCUGAUGCAGCGACGCCGCGUGAGGGAUGACGGCCUUCGGGUUGUAAACCUCUUUCAGCACCGACGAAGCGCAAGUGACGGUAGGUGCAGAAGAAGGACCGGCCAACUACGUGCCAGCCGCCGCCGUAA
Molecule: ribosomal RNA, 478 nt
Filed under: uncultured bacterium
Lineage: Bacteria
Description: partial 16S ribosomal RNA
Rfam family: Bacterial small subunit ribosomal RNA
Source: RNAcentral